UGCAUCUAGGGCCUGUGAGGAUGAGAACCUCCGGGGGCAGGAGGUUCGACUCGAGCGAAGCGAGAGAACGUUGCGUCAGCAACGGCCCGCAGGGCGAGCCACGAAGUGGUGAGUCAUCCUCUAUCACCGACCA
RNAcentral lists this small RNA (133 nucleotides) under Klebsiella pneumoniae. RNAcentral's name for it is "RtT sRNA". It matches the Rfam family "RtT RNA". From Rfam's summary of the family: This family represents a bacterial cis-regulatory element known as RtT RNA. The exact function of RtT is unknown although it is thought that it may be involved in changing the cellular response in relation to amino acid starvation. The record is from RNAcentral. Lineage: Bacteria; Pseudomonadati; Pseudomonadota; Gammaproteobacteria; Enterobacterales; Enterobacteriaceae.